RNAcentral lists this ribosomal RNA (254 nucleotides) under uncultured bacterium. RNAcentral describes it as "partial 16S ribosomal RNA". It matches the Rfam family "Bacterial small subunit ribosomal RNA", at positions 524 to 776 of the family's 1533-position model. The record is from RNAcentral.
UACAGAGGUCCCGAGCGUUGUUCGGAUUCAUUGGGCGUAAAGGGUGCGUAGGCGGCGGGGCAAGUCUGAUGUGAAAUCCCGGGGCUCAACCCCCGGAACUGCAUUGGAUACUGCCUUGCUUGAGUACUGGAGAGGGAACUGGAAUUUACGGUGUAGCAGUGAAAUGCGUAGAGAUCGUAAGGAAGGCCAGUGGCGAAGGCGAGUUCCUGGACAGUGACUGACGCUGAGGCACGAAGGCCAGGGGAGCAAACGGG